UGACGCUUCCCCUUUCCUCCGUCCUUGUUGGCAUUGCUGACCAGCCUUCCCCGAAGACACCAUCGUUCUUCCUUACUAUCGCCUCAGCACCUUAUCUUCAAUGGUGACCGAAGAUGUGACGAAGUUGUGAAUCAUAUUUGGAAUUCAAGCUUGAACCAAGAGAUAAGUAAUCAGAUCAAGUAUAUUGCUCAGCACAUCGAGACUUGCUGCAAUGUAGGUAAUGGCAUCUCUUAGACUUCCACUUCGAGUCACUUCGCUGCACAGGGGUCAUGUUGUUUAA
Molecule: non-coding RNA, 280 nt
Organism: Theobroma cacao (cacao)
Lineage: Eukaryota; Viridiplantae; Streptophyta; Magnoliopsida; Malvales; Malvaceae
Source: RefSeq, a predicted model, not a curated record